RNAcentral lists this ribosomal RNA (783 nucleotides) under uncultured bacterium. RNAcentral describes it as "bacterial SSU rRNA". It matches the Rfam family "Bacterial small subunit ribosomal RNA", at positions 8 to 796 of the family's 1533-position model. The record is from RNAcentral.
AGAGUUUGAUCAUGGCUCAGGACGAACGCUGGCGGCGUGCUUAACACAUGCAAGUCGAACGGUAAGGCCCUUCGGGGUACACGAGUGGCGAACGGGUGAGUAACACGUGGGUAAUCUGCCCUGCACAUCGGGAUAAGCCUGGGAAACUGGGUCUAAUACCGAAUAGGACCACAGAACACAUGUCCUGUGGUGGAAAGCUUUUGCGGUGUGGGAUGGGCCCGCGGCCUAUCAGCUUGUUGGUGGGGUGAUGGCCCACCAAGGCGACGACGGGUAGCCGGCCUGAGAGGGUGUCCGGCCACACUGGGACUGAGAUACGGCCCAGACUCCUACGGGAGGCAGCAGUGGGGAAUAUUGCACUAUGGGCGAAAGCCUGAUGCAGCGACGCCGCGUGGGGGAUGACGGCCUUCGGGUUGUAAACCUCUUUCACCAUCGACGAAGGUUCGGGUUUUCUCGGAUUGACGGUAGGUGGAGAAGAAGCACCGGCCAACUACGUGCCAGCAGCCGCGGUAAUACGUAGGGUGCGAGCGUUGUCCGGAAUUACUGGGCGUAAAGAGCUCGUAGGUGGUUUGUCGCGUUGUUCGUGAAAUCUCACGGCUUAACUGUGAGCGUGCGGGCGAUACGGGCAGACUUGAGUACUGCAGGGGAGACUGGAAUUCCUGGUGUAGCGGUGGAAUGCGCAGAUAUCAGGAGGAACACCGGUGGCGAAGGCGGGUCUCUGGGCAGUAACUGACGCUGAGGAGCGAAAGCGUGGGGAGCGAACAGGAUUAGAUACCCUGGUAGUCC